Molecule: small nucleolar RNA, 92 nt
Organism: Trypanosoma brucei brucei TREU927
Lineage: Eukaryota; Euglenozoa; Kinetoplastea; Trypanosomatida; Trypanosomatidae
Source: RefSeq, a predicted model, not a curated record
GGACGUGAUGAAGAAAAAUUAUUUACUUCUGUUUGGAGAGGGUUCAGGAACACUCUCCAUGACGUUACCAUAAUUAAUCCAUUCUCUGAUCA